UACGUAGGGUGCGAGCGUUGUCCGGAAUUACUGGGCGUAAAGAGCUCGUAGGUGGUUUGUCGCGUUGUUCGUGAAAACUCACAGCUUAACUGUGGGCGUGCGGGCGAUACGGGCAGACUGGAGGUAUGCAGGGGAGAACGGAAUUCCUGGUGUAGCGGUGAAAUGCGCAGAUAUCAGGAGGAACACCGGUGGCGAAGGCGGGUCUCUGGGCAACAACUGACGCUGAGGAGCGAAAGCGUGGGGAGCGAACAGG
Molecule: ribosomal RNA, 253 nt
Filed under: uncultured bacterium
Lineage: Bacteria
Description: partial 16S ribosomal RNA
Rfam family: Bacterial small subunit ribosomal RNA
Source: RNAcentral